This 209-nucleotide ribosomal RNA is filed under the name uncultured bacterium. RNAcentral's name for it is "partial 16S ribosomal RNA". It matches the Rfam family "Bacterial small subunit ribosomal RNA", at positions 568 to 775 of the family's 1533-position model. The record is from RNAcentral.
CAUGUAGGCGGAUUGUUAAGUCUGGUGUGAAACGCCCGGGGCUCAACCCCGGAAGUGCAUUGGAUACUGGCAAUCUUGAGUAUGGGAGAGGAAAGUGGAAUUCCGAGUGUAGGAGUGAAAUCCGUAGAUAUUCGGAGGAACACCAGUGGCGAAGGCGGCUUUCUGGACCAAUACUGACGCUGAGAUGCGAAAGCGUGGGGAGCAAACGA